Long non-coding RNA from Medicago truncatula (barrel medic), 2553 nucleotides. RefSeq lists it as uncharacterized. The record is from RefSeq and is a predicted model, not a curated record. The transcript has 2 exons. NCBI's taxonomy places the organism in Eukaryota, Viridiplantae, Streptophyta, Magnoliopsida, Fabales, Fabaceae.
CCCACAGAAACAUGCAAGAAGGAUCUGAUACGACGGCGAAUCAUCGCUGCCGGAGAUAGUCCCGCCACCAGAACUAACGGUAAUACUCUUAUUUCACUCUUGUUUACACUUUUCGAUUAGAAACUGCUUUAUAAAUUUUAAUUACUACAUUAAAAAGAUACUUAGAUUUUAUGUUCCAUGAGUAUCAAUUAUCAUCUACAAAGAUAUUAAGAUACCUAGGUUUUACUUCGCUCUUGUUAUUUUGUCUAUAAUAAUAUUAUUUGAUUGAUGUUAUAUUUGGCAUGUGUAAGCUAAUUUACGAAGAUAAACAGCUUAUAGCACAAGUUCUUAUUAUGAUAAGCACUUAUGUAUAGGCUUGCAUAAGCUAUUUUUAUAGCAAAGAUAAAAUAAAGUUAAAUUGUUUUUGUAUAUGUUAUAAAUUGUUUUUCUAAGCUAGGGUGAAGAAUUUACGAAAAUAAGUUGAAAAAAGCUUAUGAAAACUGUCAUAAGCUGUUUUCUUAAGUUCUUCCUAACUAUCUCACAAAACUUAUGUGAGUAGAUAAACUCAAAUAAGUCAAUCCAAACAAGUCCGUGAUACAUUUCCUGAAAUUAUCAACUGCAUUUAGGGUUAGCUCUAAACUCCAUGCUUGUUCCUUUCCGUUUUAGUUUUAACGACGGUGUAUCCAGUGAAAUUUGAUUUGUUGGUGUGCUGUAACCUGCUGGAUUUCAUUAUUGUAUCAUGAAUGGGUCAGAUUUGUUUUCAUGUUUUUAAUUAGGCUAUUUUCUAGGUUCUUGUUGCACAAUUAGUGUAAAUGCAACAGAUUAUGCUGCACAGAUCAAAUUUAUUGGUGCACUUAGUGAUCAUUCAUAAUUGUGUUUGAUAUAUAUUUCUUCACUGUAAUUUCCUGAAAAAUAUAGGAAUUAGGAAAUGCUAUCAAACUUUGUAAUAUGGCAUUUUUUUUAAACCAUUAUAAAAAGUGCCAAUGCUUGUUUUAUUGCUUUCAUUUUAAGUAGUUGAAGGAUGUUCAACUUCACCGGUGAGGUUAAGGUGUACCUUACUCUAUGUGAAGAACAAUAUAUCUAGUAAUCAAUAUAUCUAAUAAUCAGUGUUGUUGAUGGUGGACCAUGGUGGAGAGCCAAAAAUCUGACAUAUGGUGCGCCAUAUUUGAUUAUGGCCCGCCGUCCUUCACAAAAUCGGCCAUGGAAGAAAGGCAUAAAGCCAAAAACCCGCCAUCGAUAUCCGCCAUGACCAAUAUUUGACAACACCACUAGCUAGUAAGGUUAGAAAUACAACAAUCAUGUUCUUCUUAGUUUUAAGAAAGGAAGAUUGAAUGGAGAUGCAUUAUUGUUCGGUUUGAUAUUAUGUGUUGCGAUUACUUGAAUGAAGGAUUUGUCGUGAUUUCCAUCCUCUCUUGGGUAUGUGAAAAAGCAACUCAAUGUUCUUAUGAUGAGAUAUUUGUAAAUGUUUUUGUGCUCUUUUUCAUGAACAAAUUCUGAAAUUGGAUCAAACAAACACAAAGUUCAAUGUAAUAAAAGUCUAAAAUUAAUGAUGCCAAAUAAGGGUAUGAACAAAACCAACCUAUUUUACUAUUCUAGUCUAUAAGAAAAAUCCAAUUUUACAUAGCAAAGACUGCAUUGAGACUUGGUUGCGAUGAUUUAAAUAAGGUUUUAGUACAAAAUACAAAAUACUACUGAUAAAUAGUCAAAAUAGUUAAUAAUUAGAUUCAGCAAAAUAACACUUGUCGCAAACAAAGUAUAAUUUAACAUAAUAAUAAGUUUCUUUUUGAAACAACAACCUAAAAAGUUAAAAACACUUCAAAUGUCUACAUCAAUAGAAAAACAUAUAGAAACAGUUCAGCCAGAACUCUGCAUACUACCAAAUCCAGUCAAACUUCACCAGUUGUACUAACGAUCCCUUGCAUUUUUUCUACUCAUCUUGCUGAUCCGGCUCCAAAUUCAAGUCCGGAAGUAGUCUCCUUGGAGAUUCUUGACCAAUCUGAAUAUCACCUUGAGCACCGUUCUCACCUGCAACAUUUUCUUCACCUGAUGUUGAGCUUCCACUUGGUAUGUUACUUGUUCUUGAUCCGGCAUUUGUUCCUGAUCCUGCAUUCAAAUUUGUAUUAGAUUCCACCAUUUCAGUCUCCAUUGCUUUUUGAGCUACCAAAAUGGUGUUGUCAGCUGUUGAAUCUGCUCCUGAGUUCUGCAAAUCUGUUGAGUCUGCCAAUUUAUUAUCAUCUGCACUUGCACUGUCAAAACUCAUGUCCAAGUCAAUUUCAGAAUCGCUUAAUUCUUCAUAGCUUGCUCUUUUACUGCGAGCCCUAAGAUUGUAGGCAAUCUUUUUGGAUGUUGUCCCUGAAAGUUUUGAUCAAACAAUAUCAAGUUUAUGUGUCUAAAUAGUCAUGACAAAUUAUAAUAAAGAUAGUUUAAAAUAUUAUAUUUGUAUAAGAAACAUUUGCACAAAUGUUGAUUCUGAUAUUGAAUCUGGAAUUAGAUUCUCUGUUGUGAUGCAAUUAUUGAUCUUGAUUGUCUGAUCGAAAUCAAUGACAGAUAUUAUUUGAAGUUGAUUUGUGAAUA